This is a long non-coding RNA of Loxodonta africana (African savanna elephant), 2385 nucleotides long. RefSeq lists it as uncharacterized. The record is from RefSeq and is a predicted model, not a curated record. The transcript has 2 exons. Lineage: Eukaryota; Metazoa; Chordata; Mammalia; Proboscidea; Elephantidae.
AACUCAAGUGUCCAUCAAGGGGUGAGUGGCUGAUAUCCACACAGUGGAGUAUUAGCCAUAAUAAGAAAUGAAGUGCUAGUACAUGCCACAACACGGAUGAACCUUGGAAACAUCACGCUAACUAAGUAAAAGUCACCUGUCACAAAAGACCAUACAUUGCAUGAUGCCACUGGUAUAACACGUCCAGACAGGCAAGUCCAUAGAGACAGAAAGCAGAUUCGUGGCUGCCAGGGACUUGGGGAAGUUGAGGGGGCAGGGGGUUUCUUCUUGGAGUGAUGAAAACGUUCUAAAAUUGCCUGUGCUGACGGUUGCACAAGUCUGUGAAAAACCAUGAAAUUGUACACUUUAAAUAGCAGAAUUGCAUGGCGUAUAAAUUAUAUCUCAAUACAGCUGUUACAAAACAAAAACCCUAUGGCGGCUCUCCUUAGACUCCUGGGCUGGGCUGGGCCAAGGACGGAAGGAAGCCUUCAUAAGUAAUAUAUACAAAUACCUCAAAAAAAGGAAGCUGCCACUGACCACGCUAGUGGGUGCUGCUCACUGCCCUGGGGGUGCCCCACGAGGCUGUAGCCAAAAUAGUGCAAGGAGAGAGGCCUUUUUGAAUUGGUGGAAAUAUCAGGAGCUGCUUUAUUUCCUGGGGCAGGCUUUUCUCAGAGCCAUUCCAGUCUAUUAAGCUGAGGUUACUGAGCUCUGGUUGUCUUCCCAGAGGCCCAGGCUGUACCAGUCCUAUGACAGCUCUCCUUCCUCUCCAGUCAGGAGACGUCUGCUUUCCCAGCCCGCCCCCACCAGCCUCAGCCUCUGCCCUUCUCUGCCCCCACCCCUCCUCAGCUGGGGAAAGAAGAGUCAAUGCAGCCAGCUAUGUAAGAAAACAGAUACCUCACUCUCACCCGGACCUGUUCCUUGAAACUGAGGCCAUUCAAGGCUACAUUUUCCAGCUUCCAGAAGCAAGCACGAAGUUGCACUAUUUUGCGGUCUACAGCUUUGACAGGGGUGGGGAAAAGGGCAGGUGACCAGCUAGAGCAUGGCAAAGCAGCGGUUGCAGCCAAGGUGGCCGGCUUCUGGGCAUUUCUUGAAAGGGAGCAGGGGCAAGAGGCAGCACUGGAGAGGAUGGUGGUAUGGACAAAGAGGACCAAAGGAAGCAAAACAGUUUCAUACACUUUGGCCAUGAUCAGAGGAUCAAGCUACCCUGAGGUCUGAGGGCAAGGAACCAAUGCAAGAAAUUAGAAUUCUAUUUGGAAACAGAGAAAUCAAAGCAGACUUAAAAGAAGAGGUAUGAAAAAUAGCACCCACCACAAGGGCUCUCUGCCAGGGUUGGGGCCAAGCCAGGCUUGGGUAUUUGGAAAAGGCUUCGUAGGAGAUUUGGCUGUGUCUUCUUUAACCUCCCCAAGCCCUCCAUCAUGAGAAUCACUGGCCUAAAAGCAAACUGAAGGGUCAGAUGGAAAACAAACAGGAGCUUGAAGAAAAUGAGAAGUCCAGAGGCGCAGAGUGGGCGUACUUGGACAGCCUGGCUGGGGGGCUUUGGCAGGCUCAAGCUGGGAGACACAUUGAACCUAAGGUCAAGAAAAGAGGACACCUGUCCUACCUUGCCGUUCACUGCAUAAUGCCUGGGGUCUUAAAAGCUUGCAAGUGGCCAUUCAAGGCACAACAAUUGGUCUCUAUUUGUCUGUGCAACAGAGGAAGGAGAGUCAGGAAUAGGAGGAGGGUAUGGAAUGCGUGGCUAAUUGCCUCCAUGAACAACUGCCUCCUUUGCCAUGAGACCAGGAGAACGGGAUGGUGCCCGGUUACCAUAACUGAACACUUUGAUCAAGAUUCUAUAGAAGUAUCCCUAUCAAAAGGGGGAAAAUGCAGAAUAGAAUUUCAAAUUCUCAUAAACUCCAGACUUUCUGGAGCCAGGAAGGUUGGACGAACCUCUGCAACUACUGCCCUGAGAUAAUCUUUAAACCUUAAACCAAAACUAUCCUCUGAAGUCUUAAAACCAACAAUACUAUUAACUAUUGUUGUCUGCCUUGAGCAUUAUGCUCUUUUAAGAACUAUCUAUAGGGGAUCAAAUUGACAACAGCAACUCAAAAGAGUAGACAGGAACCUUAGCAGCAACGAGUUUAUGUUAAUAGGAGGAAGAACAACUCAGAAAAGGAGGAUGAGAAUGGUUGCACAACUUGAAGCAUGUAAUCAAUGUCACUAAAUGGUUCACGCAGAAACUAAUUGGUGUAUGUUUUGCUGUGUAUAUUCUCAACAACAACAACAACAAAAAGAAGAUGGGUCACAGUAACUCAUGUGAGUGGGGUUGCUCACUUGCAGAAAAGCUGUGCAACUCUGGAGUCGUUUUUAUGAGAAAAAUGACAACAUGAGACAAAUUCCCUAGGUAGAACUAGUUAAAAAAAAAAACAA